This 349-nucleotide ribosomal RNA is filed under the name uncultured bacterium. RNAcentral's name for it is "bacterial SSU rRNA". It matches the Rfam family "Bacterial small subunit ribosomal RNA", at positions 8 to 350 of the family's 1533-position model. The record is from RNAcentral.
AGAGUUUGAUCCUGGCUCAGGAUGAACGCUAGCUACAGGCUUAACACAUGCAAGUCGAGGGGCAGCAUGAACUUAGCUUGCUAAGUUUGAUGGCGACCGGCGCACGGGUGAGUAACACGUAUCCAACCUGCCGAUGACUCGGGGAUAGCCUUUCGAAAGAAAGAUUAAUACCCGAUGGCAUAGCUCUUCCGCAUGGUAGAACUAUUAAAGAAUUUCGGUCAUCGAUGGGGAUGCGUUCCAUUAGGUUGUUGGCGGGGUAACGGCCACCAAGCCUUCGAUGGAUAGGGGUUCUGAGAGGAAGGUCCCCCANAUUGGAACUGAGACACGGUCCAAACUCCUACAGGAGGCA